Molecule: ribosomal RNA, 668 nt
Filed under: Diplomitoporus crustulinus
Lineage: Eukaryota; Fungi; Basidiomycota; Agaricomycetes; Polyporales; Climacocystaceae
Description: eukaryotic LSU rRNA
Rfam family: 5.8S ribosomal RNA (bases 252-405)
Source: RNAcentral
AAGGUUUCCGUAGGUGAACCUGCGGAAGGAUCAUUAAUGAAUUUUAAUGGACGGGGUUGUCGCUGGCCUGACUCAGGCAUGUGCACACCUUGCUUCAUCCAAUUCUCACACCUCUGUGCACCUUUUUCAUGGGCUGGUUUUGUGGCUUGCUUUGCUCUUUGGGCAAAGUUUGUUCAGACCUUCCUGUGUCAUACAUUUAUACGCUUCAGUUAUUAGAAUGUCAUUUUAUUGCUAUAAACGCAUUUAAAUACAACUUUCAGCAACGGAUCUCUUGGCUCUCGCAUCGAUGAAGAACGCAGCGAAAUGCGAUAAGUAAUGUGAAUUGCAGAAUUCAGUGAAUCAUCGAAUCUUUGAACGCACCUUGCGCUCCUUGGUAUUCCGAGGAGCAUGCCUGUUUGAGUGUCAUGGUAUUCUCAACCCUCCAAAUCUUUGCGGAUGAGGAUGGGCUUGGAUGUGGAGGUUUUUGCAGGCUUUCUUGAUAGGAAUUGUCUGCUCCUCUGAAAUAUAUUAGCACGGAUUUUACUGAACGUGUCUCAGUGUGAUAAUUGUCUACGCUGUGAUCGCAAAGUAUAUUAUAUUUGUGCUUCCAAUAGUCCACUAAAGGACAAUUCUAUUGACAUCUGACCUCAAAUCAGGUAGGACUACCCGCUGAACUUAAGCAUAUCAAU